UGCUUUUCCACUGAUUGUGGGAGCCUGGCUCUUUCCUUCAUCAAGAAGACAAGAGUAAUGAUGUGCUUGAUUCGAGGGGUAGGGGUAGACAUGGCCAGGGAAGAAGAGAAACAAUACAGAGCAGCAAGUAGGUACACAGACUCCUGAAUGUUCUCCAUAACCAUACAUUUCAUGUAAACACCAACCAGAAAAACUGAAAAUAUAUGUACACACUGUAUUUCACAAUAAUUAACAAUGGUCAAGUCCAUCAAUAACGCAAAUGUCCAAGUCUGUUAAGUUCAGUACCCCAACUAAACUUUCUAAAUCUCACGGUUCGGUCCCCAUUUGGGCGCCACUCUGUAGCGUGGUACCUUAUGGGGUUUGGACGCCAGACAGUUCAAAUUAACAGUCACUUAUAACUUAUAAUUUGGACAUCACUCAGAAUAAGGCUACUCAAUUCUUACAAAAUAAGUUUAUUAUUAUUUAUGCAAUAAACAUAAGAAAAUACAGAUCGUUUCAGUCAUAGAAACCGAAAUAAUGAAAACCAAAAAGUUCCCCUACGUGGGAUUAAUAAACGCACCCAUAAGGAAAUAAGGCUCUAUUCAUAAAAGAAACUUUUCACACACAAAAGGCAGAAAAAAACAUUUAACCCCAAAAUAAUUCUUAACCAAAACAAAAAAGUUGUUCACUUUAAAGCUGCACUUCAAUGGCGGCGAUUUAGGCGUACGGGAGUUCGUGAACCCGAAAGCAUGGGAAAGAGCAGUCAGAUUCCGCUUAACACUCGGAGUUCUUUACAGCCAGUAACAUCCAACGAUUUAAACAUACUGGUUCUCCACAAAAGUAUUAAAGAAAGGAUCUCAAACCCGUGAUGUGCCUCCGAACCCUCAAAACUCCGCUCGCUAGUUUAAUCACCUUGGCAGAAUAUUCCCGAAGUGUUCACCAGCCUCCUGAAUCAAUAUCCACAAGGUUAUAAUCCACAGUAAGAGCAUUAGAAUGGUCCUUGGCAAACGCACACCAUCAGUUCCGCCAUUCCCACCUGGCGCUAAUUUCCGCGUCCCGCUUUCUCUCACCUAGUCACCUGUUCUUUUUAUUGCUUCCUAAGACCCCACCCUUCUCUUCAUCUCUUUUUUUACUUCCGUUAAUUAAAACACCACGGAAUGGAACGGACUCCGCUUCUGCGUCACUAAAUGGUAAAUGGUGCAGUUAUAGCCAAAGCGCUUUACACUGUGUCUCAUUUACCCAUUCGCACACCAAUGAUAGCAGAGCUGCCAUACAAGGCGCUAACUUGCCAUCGGGAGCAACUUGGGGUUCAUUGUCUUGCCCAAGGACACUUUGGCAUGUGGAGUCAGGCUGGCUGGGAACCGCCAACCCUACGAUUAGUGGACAACCCGCUCUACCACCUGAUCCACAGCCGCCCCUGUCACUGUGCAGCUAUCUGUUACAAAUGAAUGGGAAAAUAUCCUUGGCAUCCCUGCAAUUCAAGGAUGUUGUAAUUGGUAAGUUGUGAUGUCAAAAGUAUCUGUACCAAGUUGAUACUAAAAUUUUAAAAAGAAUGAUACGAUAAGUUUUUUUUUUUCAGUACCGGCAGUACCAAGUAUUCUCCUGCUUUCUGAUUGACUUUCUUUUGUAGGUAUUAAUUAACCGUGAUUUACACUCAGCCAUCUUACUGGAAUUUGUGUAGGUUAGGAAUAAGACUGAGGAUGGAGUUGUACAGUUUUGUAGUGUGUAUCAUUUGUAAAUAUUGUUAACUUCUUUACCAUAGCUAUGCUGAGGGAGGUGUUGACUAAAUUAGAGAUGGAGCUGGACCAACAAACCACUGAGCUUGCUUCAACUACAGGUGUUCCAGGUGCAGUCUUUGGAUACUGAUGAAGAUUUACUGCCCUACAAGAUCUUCCUCAACUGCAUAGUCUGGAGCAAAGGAUGCAACAGAGCUCGGAUUGCAAGCAAAAACUGGGCGGAUGUGCUUGACUGCACUUGGCGCAUAUUGAAGAGGGUGAUUGCUAAUUCCCUGGCAAAGAACCUCAAUUGGAGAGGAGUCAAUGGAAAGACUUCACUGGCCACUCUCCAACUUGGAGAGGUCAUGAUUGAAACCUCUUCACAGCUAAUGCUGCAGAGAUGGAGGUUGAGGGGACCAUGAAGAGGUGGCUCCAGCUGGCAUCAGAUGGAGAGAAGACUUUUGAAAACUUUUGCAAAAAGAAGGUAUUUAGAGUGUUUUAACUGUGGUGUCUUUGUUAAUUUGUUAAAAUGUUCAUAUUAUAGUCUAUUUUUGAUUGUUUAUAAAAGUCCUUGCUGUUUUUAAGUGGUUGAAAUUGUGUGUGUGUUGGUACAGUAGCUGGGUGGCUAUACAGUUGCGGUCAGAAGUUUACAUACCCCUUGCAGAAUCUACAAAAUCUUAAUACUCUUAACAAAAUAAGAUUGAUCAUAAAAAUCCUGUUUCUUAUUUAGUACCGCCAUGAAUAAGCUAUUUCACAUAACAGAUGUUUACAUAUAGUCCACAAGAUAAUAGCUGAAUUAAUCAAAAUUACCCCAUUCAAAAGUUUACACACGUUUGAUUCUUAAUACUGUGUGUCGUUACCUGAACGACAGGUCCUUCACAUACUUUGCUUUUCCUGCAUAUUUUAGCCCUUUCCAGUAGAGGUUAUAUGAUGUUCCGAUCCAUCUUUUCACACUGAGGACAAU
Long non-coding RNA from Ictalurus punctatus (channel catfish), 2658 nucleotides. RefSeq lists it as uncharacterized. The record is from RefSeq and is a predicted model, not a curated record. Lineage: Eukaryota; Metazoa; Chordata; Actinopteri; Siluriformes; Ictaluridae. The transcript is spliced from 3 exons.